AGUGAACGCUGGCGGUAGGCCUAACACAUGCAAGUCGAACGGCAGCACACUAAGAGCUUGCUCUUACGGGUGGCGAGUGGCGGACGGAUGAGGAAUAUAUCGGACUCUACUUUUUCGUGGGGGAUAACGUAGGGAAACUUACGCUCAUACCGCAUACGACCUACGGGUGAAAGCAGGGGAUCUUCGGACCUUGCGCGAAUGAAUGAGCCGCUGUCGGAUUAGCUAGUUGGGGGGGUAAAGGCCCACCAAGGCGCCGAUCCGUAGCUGGUCUGAGUGAAUGGUAGCCGACACUGGAACGUGGACACCGUCCAGACUCCUACGGGAGGCAGCAGUGGCGAAUAUUGGACAAUAGGCGCAAGCCUGAUCCAGUGGUCCCACGUGGGUGAAGAAGGCCUUCGGGUUGUGAAGACCUUUUGUGGGGUAAGAAAAGCAGCCGGUUAAUACCCCGCUGUUCUGACGGUAACCAGAGAAUAAGCACCGGCUAACUUCGUG
Molecule: ribosomal RNA, 492 nt
Filed under: uncultured bacterium
Lineage: Bacteria
Description: partial 16S ribosomal RNA
Rfam family: Bacterial small subunit ribosomal RNA
Source: RNAcentral